GUGGUGUCUGGAGUAUUAAACUCACGUGCUGUUGUGUUAUUAAUCUCUUUGUUGGAAGCCAGUUGAUUUCCCCUGCCUGUGUCUGUCAAUUAAAUAUUCAGCAUUGCAGCCACAAUUGAACGGUUGAUGUUUUGGCACGCAAAACCUUUUGGAGACAGACUGUUGACAGUUUCCUUACAUGCCAUACCAUUUCCAAAAAGCCAAGCGGGCUAGCAAACUAAGACCUCUGCCAGGGACUCCGAGAUGCCUGCGAGCACUUCAAUUUUUCACAGAAAUGAGCUGAGCGAGACGCCUGCACCGGGUGCAAGAAGGGGAGAGGGAAGAAAAGCCAGAACCGCUGGUAAAGCCGACAGCCGAGCAACGCAAACCUUCCAUCUGUGUGCUGGCAAACCACUGCUGGGCCAAAUCCUCUGCCGAGAUUAACUGAACCAAUUGAGUUUAUGUUACUAGUGAAUUUUGCCCAUCAUUUUUGGAGACCGACUGAUCUCGCGACAUUUUCACCACCUUCCCAUCUG
This is a long non-coding RNA of Harpia harpyja (harpy eagle), 515 nucleotides long. RefSeq lists it as uncharacterized. NCBI's taxonomy places the organism in Eukaryota, Metazoa, Chordata, Aves, Accipitriformes, Accipitridae. The record is from RefSeq and is a predicted model, not a curated record. The transcript is spliced from 3 exons.